UACGUAGGGUGCAAGCGUUGUCCGGAAUUAUUGGGCGUAAAGAGCUCGUAGGCGGUUUGUCGCGUCGGCUGUGAAAGCCCGGGGCUUAACUCCGGGCCUGCAGCCGAUACGGGCAGACUAGAGUUCGGCAGGGGAGACUGGAAUUCCUGGUGUAGCGGUGAAAUGCGCAGAUAUCAGGAGGAACACCGGUGGCGAAGGCGGGUCUCUGGGCCGAUACUGACGCUGAGGAGCGAAAGCGUGGGGAGCGAACAGG
This 253-nucleotide ribosomal RNA is filed under the name uncultured bacterium. RNAcentral describes it as "partial 16S ribosomal RNA". It matches the Rfam family "Bacterial small subunit ribosomal RNA", at positions 524 to 776 of the family's 1533-position model. The record is from RNAcentral.